AACGAACGCUGGCGGCAGGCCUAACACAUGCAAGUCGAGCGCGCCCUUCGGGGUGAGCGGCGGACGGGUGAGUAACGCGUGGGAACGUGCCCUUCUCUGCGGAAUAGCCUCGGGAAACUGAGAGUAAUACCGCAUACGCCCUUUGGGGGAAAGAUUUAUCGGAGAAGGAUCGGCCCGCGUUGGAUUAGGUAGUUGGUGGGGUAAUGGCCCACCAAGCCGACGAUCCAUAGCUGGUUUGAGAGGAUGAUCAGCCACACUGGGACUGAGACACGGCCCAGACUCCUGCGGAAGGAAGCAGUGGGGAUUCUUAAAAAAUGGGGGCAACCCGGAUCUAGCCAGGCCGGGUGGGUAAUAAAGGCCUUAGGUUUGUAAAGCUCUUUCCGCGGGGAAGAUAAGGACGGUCCCAACAAAAAAAGCCCCGGCAAACCCCGU
Molecule: ribosomal RNA, 432 nt
Filed under: uncultured bacterium
Lineage: Bacteria
Description: partial 16S ribosomal RNA
Rfam family: Bacterial small subunit ribosomal RNA
Source: RNAcentral